Transfer RNA from Ipomoea nil (Japanese morning glory), 72 nucleotides. It matches the Rfam family "tRNA". Rfam says of the family: Transfer RNA (tRNA) molecules are approximately 80 nucleotides in length. Their secondary structure includes four short double-helical elements and three loops (D, anti-codon, and T loops). Further hydrogen bonds mediate the characteristic L-shaped molecular structure. tRNAs have two regions of fundamental functional importance: the anti-codon, which is responsible for specific mRNA codon recognition, and the 3' end, to which the tRNAs corresponding amino acid is attached (by aminoacyl-tRNA synthetases). tRNAs cope with the degeneracy of the genetic code in two manners: having more than one tRNA (with a specific anti-codon) for a particular amino acid; and 'wobble' base-pairing, i.e. permitting non-standard base-pairing at the 3rd anti-codon position. NCBI's taxonomy places the organism in Eukaryota, Viridiplantae, Streptophyta, Magnoliopsida, Solanales, Convolvulaceae. The record is from Rfam.
GCUUCCAUAGCAUAGUGGUAGUGCGUUCGCUUCGUAAGCGAAAGGUCAUGAGUAUAAUCCUGGUUGGUAGUU